This 537-nucleotide ribosomal RNA is filed under the name uncultured fungus. Its description in RNAcentral is "eukaryotic LSU rRNA". The stretch from base 175 to 328 matches the Rfam family "5.8S ribosomal RNA". The record is from RNAcentral. Lineage: Eukaryota; Fungi.
UACUGAGUGAGGGCCCUCUGGGUCCACCUCCCACCCGUGUUUAUUGUACCUUGUUGCUUCGGUGCGCCCGCCUCACGGCCGCCGGGGGGCUUCUGCCCCCGGGUCCGCGCGCACCGGAGACACUAUUGAACUCUGUCUGAAGAUUGCAGUCUGAGCAUAAACUAAAUAAGUUAAAACUUUCAACAACGGAUCUCUUGGUUCCGGCAUCGAUGAAGAACGCAGCGAAAUGCGAUAACUAAUGUGAAUUGCAGAAUUCAGUGAAUCAUCGAGUCUUUGAACGCACAUUGCGCCCCCUGGUAUUCCGGGGGGCAUGCCUGUCCGAGCGUCAUUGCUGCCCUCAAGCACGGCUUGUGUGUUGGGCUCCGUCCCCCCGGGGACGGGUCCGAAAGGCAGCGGCGGCACCGAGUCCGGUCCUCGAGCGUAUGGGGCUUUGUCACCCGCUCUGUAGGCCCGGCCGGCGCCAGCCGACAACCAAUCAUCCUUUUUUCAGGUUGACCUCGGAUCAGGUAGGGAUACCCGCUGAACUUAAGCAUAUCA